This 2219-nucleotide long non-coding RNA is filed under the name Homo sapiens (human). RNAcentral describes it as "HSALNT0168847". The record is from RNAcentral. Lineage: Eukaryota; Metazoa; Chordata; Mammalia; Primates; Hominidae.
AGAUUAAAUGAUCCAGAUGAAUAUAUUUAUUUGUAUACAAAAGUUAUAUAUACAUGUAUAUUCACAUAUGUGUAUAUAUAUAGUAAACACACAUACAACAUAUCUGUAGAUGCACGUUCAUGAGCACACACACACAUACUUAUCCCACAGAAAGCAAACUACCCAUGUACCAACUGGACCCACAAUGAUUGGCUCAAGAUUAUUAUCUUCGUUAUAAACGUGGUAAAAUGAGCAAACUCCACUUAAGAAACAAGCUGCUGUUCUUCACAUUUAUAAGUCACAGUCUGAGGGAUCUUAGAGUCUAAGAUCUCAUAAUUAAGGGGUGCUGAUCCCCAAGGUAACUUGACAUUUGCAGAAAAAUAUUGAAUCUUUUUUGCAAUGUAUUAAAUUUUGAUUACAUUGACUAGUCUCUAAUGAUUCCUUGUAGUUAGAUAGUUUGCUGGUUGGUACCCUUCCCUGGAAACCAGUAGGUUUCUUCAUCCACAUGCAUAAAUUACAUUUGGUGAUGUUGUAGCAGAGAUUAGUAGAGCUUUGGUUUGGUAAAACUAAUUCUUAAGCAUAGAUAAAGAGCCAUUCCAUUCACUUGGGAAAGAUCUGCAAUGAAAGUCACCAUUCAUGGGUCCAGAGCCAUCUCCUCUCAGUGUGGCCACGGGUUCCCAUUCUCAAGGCGGAGUGAAAGUGAGACCGAGGAACUCUCACUUGACAAACGCUUUUUCAUGUGAAAUAACAUGAACUCCUUUUCCCCCUAGACUAAGUUGUGUCAGAUCAUUGUCUCUUCCGCAGUACAGGAAGAGAAGCUAAUCUAUAAAACAAUGAGACUUCACUCUGGAUGCCAAAAUCUGCAAUUACAUUGUACGGAGGGGCUUCAUGAAUAAUUCCUGGGGUAUGAUCUGACAUUAAUCUGGAAGUUAAUACAGAGCUGGGGCAUUGCCAGCAUAAAGCUGACUGAUUUCUUUAUAACAGAGCACUUUCAAGGUGAGGAUACAGCCUUUUCUCUAAGUUACACUCUCCAUCCAAGCUGAGCACUAAGCUAUCAUCUUUACGUCUUCUGUUUCCUCCUCUGAGUUGGAUGUCUGGGUAUUGGCAACACAGUACCAUCUUAGAAAAAAAAGGCACUUCAAUUAGGCAAGACAGCUCCAAGAUUUUAGCUAUUUCUCACAUAUUAGUUAGUUUUAAAUGGCCUUGUAAGAAAAUACCCUAGUGUGGUAUAACUGUACAUGUGACACUGUUCCUGGCCAAGCCUUUGACCAAGGUCCCAGUUUGCUCUCAGAACUGGUCCCUUACUAAGGCCUAGGGAAAAUAAUCUCAGAAAAUCUCCUUUAGGAGUUAUUGAUGGAUCAAUGUUGGUAUCACCUCUUGAAGUAAAUCAGAAUUAUGAUGAAUCUUUUCUGAUGAUCUUUUCUUAGUUAACAUGUUUCUUGAUUCAAAUGCAUGUUUAUAGGGUACAUAUGUUCAGCAUUGUAACAGAAAUUUUGAUAAAUUAUUAAAAGAAAAAAAAAACCUAACCAAUCAACAACAACAUGUUUUCUGCCCCGGGGGAUCUUCCUAUCCAGCUAAAGAAAAAUGAGUAGAACAGAUAAUAAUGUUUAGAGAAAGAAGUGGUGAGUGGAAUGGAAUGCUGGGAGAAAGCAUUUUGCCGAGGAGGGAUGAGUUUGGGUUGAGCUUUGGUGGCUGGUAAGAGUUUGGGUUGAUGAAGAGAAGUUUUGUGAUUUUUUUAAGAUAAUAAUAACCAAGCAAAAGAGUGGGCAUGACACUGAUUUUCCUGUGUAAUAUUUAAAAUAUUUGACAACAGGUAUGGCACAGAUACUAACCAAUCAGAGUGGCUGCAACCUGCCAUUAACAACCAACACACCGUAACAGUGCAGAACGCUGAAAUAGCAGCCUGGCUCGGGACUGUUCAGCAUUUUCUUGUUCUGUUUGUUGGCAUGCCUGUUGUCUGUCUCCCUCCCCUAGAAUAUAAAUGUACCUGCAGCACACGAAGAACUGCCCGAGUAUGACUGUUUCUCCGUAUUUGUUCAGCGGCUGAAUGUUUACAAAACUGUACACAAAAAUCUCAGAUUGGCCUGACGAGAACAGAAAACUGAUAUCAGGGGGUUGAAAAUGAAAAGUAGAGAGAUAGGAUGGGCAAAACAAUGGCCAUCUUUAAAUGUCGAGAUUGUAAAUUUGAACAAUUUUCUGUGAAUAGUGAAGAAUCAAUGGAGAUAUACAAAAAUACAGGA